UGGGGAAUUUUGGACAAUGGGGGAAACCCUGAUCCAGCCAUCCCGCGUGUGCGAUGAAGGCCUUCGGGUUGUAAAGCACUUUUGGCAGGAAAGAAACGUCGCGGGUUAAUACCCCGCGAAACUGACGGUACCUGCAGAAUAAGCACCGGCUAACUACGUGCCAGCAGCCGCGGUAAUACGUAGGGUGCAAGCGUUAAUCGGAAUUACUGGGCGUAAAGCGUGCGCAGGCGGUUCGGAAAGAAAGAUGUGAAAUCCCAGAGCUUAACUUUGGAACUGCAUUUUUAACUACCGGGCUAGAGUGUGUCAGAGGGAGGUGGAAUUCCGCGUGUAGCAGUGAAAUGCGUAGAUAUGCGGAGGAACACCGAUGGCGAAGGCAGCCUCCUGGGAUAACACUGACGCUCAUGCACGAAAGCGUGGGGAGCAAACAGGAUUAGAUACCCUGGUAGUCCACGCCCUAAACGAUGUCAACUAGCUGUUGGGGGCCUUCGGGCCUUGGUAGCGCAGCUAACGCGUGAAGUUGACCGCCUGGGGGAGUACGGUCGCAAGAUUAAAACUCAAAUGAAUUGACGGGGUCGAU
This 577-nucleotide ribosomal RNA is filed under the name uncultured bacterium. Its description in RNAcentral is "partial 16S ribosomal RNA". It matches the Rfam family "Bacterial small subunit ribosomal RNA", at positions 355 to 923 of the family's 1533-position model. The record is from RNAcentral.